GCAAAUCUUUUUUUCUAAACAAAAAAAAAAAGCUUUCUGAUCAGAUUUGUCCUCAGAAAUUAUUGACUCCCUCAGGGUCAGAGAACCACAAUUUUGGCAAAAUCCUUAUCACUUUCAAGACAUUGUUAUUCUUUUCUAUGUAAAUCCUUCAGAAUCUUUGUGUCCUCCCCAUCUUUUUAUCCUAUCUUCAGCAAUAGAAGCCUCUUUGUUCCAAU
This 215-nucleotide unclassified non-coding RNA is filed under the name Hevea brasiliensis (rubber tree). The record is from RNAcentral. Lineage: Eukaryota; Viridiplantae; Streptophyta; Magnoliopsida; Malpighiales; Euphorbiaceae.